CACAACUGAAUAUUCGAUAUUUGGAAUGAUAGUCAUCAUGUUGGCUUGAAACAAAUAGUCUGAUACUCCUACAUGCAUAGGAUUGUAACAGCAUGAAUGUGUAUGAAGCUAGGUAAAGACGGCAGAACAAUGCCUAAGUGAGAUAUCAUACGGCAAAGGAUAUGUCGGGACGCUAUAAA
Non-coding RNA from Clostridium perfringens D str. JGS1721, 179 nucleotides. The record is from Rfam. NCBI's taxonomy places the organism in Bacteria, Bacillati, Bacillota, Clostridia, Eubacteriales, Clostridiaceae.